AACCCUCAUCCCUAAUUGCUCCUGGCAGAUAAAAGGGUCAGAGCACAAUAGGGAGACCGCUGGCGAAGAGCCAGAGAAGGGAGGAUGACGUCAAGUCAGCAUGGCCUUUAUGCCCUGGGCUACACACAUGCUACAAUGCAGGGUACAACGGGAAGCGAAGCCGCGAGGUGGAGCAAAUCCCCAAAAGACCCUGCUCAGUUCGGAUCGCACGCUGCAAUUCGCGUGCGUGAAGUCGGAGUCGCUAGUAACCGUGGAUCAGCAAAGCCGCGGUGAAUACGUUCUCGGGCCUU
This 290-nucleotide ribosomal RNA is filed under the name uncultured Coprothermobacter sp. Its description in RNAcentral is "partial 16S ribosomal RNA". It matches the Rfam family "Bacterial small subunit ribosomal RNA", at positions 1098 to 1382 of the family's 1533-position model. Lineage: Bacteria; Pseudomonadati; Coprothermobacterota; Coprothermobacteria; Coprothermobacterales; Coprothermobacteraceae. The record is from RNAcentral.